Drosophila sechellia is the source of this 630-nucleotide long non-coding RNA. RefSeq lists it as uncharacterized. Lineage: Eukaryota; Metazoa; Arthropoda; Insecta; Diptera; Drosophilidae. The record is from RefSeq and is a predicted model, not a curated record. The transcript is spliced from 2 exons.
GAUAGUGCCAUGGAUGGUUUUCCAGCUCUAGAACUAGUGGCUCCCACGCCAGCACAUUUACCAGGGAAGGGAUUCUGAAGACAAUAAUUCUUGGAGUGCCCAAAAACAAAACACCUCUUUUCUGUGGCGCGCACGCUCUGUAGUUACUCGAUGCCUGUUAUUUUCAUUGAUUGUCGUUUCGUCGUCUUCUUCAGAGAUCGGUUCGUUUUGCCAAUCCGGUUUUCUCGGGCAAUAUAUUUUAAUGACUUCAAGGCCAAGGUCAAGGUCUUUUGUUUCUGCUUUCUAAGAUAAUUUUCUGUGGAAUUUUCGUAACGUAAGCACACGGGGAUGAGUGAAGUUCAGGUUGGCCGUGUCGUUUGCGAUGGAGGAUAUGGCAUGCACUUAAGGAUAUACCAAAAGGCUUUGCAAAAUAUGAUAGAUGCAGAAAUUCUGUCAUAAGUAUAUUUAAGUUGUACAUGAAGAAUGUAGCUGUCACUUACUCUUAAUCUUAGCUGUAAAGCAUGUCAUGGUUUUGGGUUUUUGUUGUUUAAUGUAAAUGCGGGAAACGAAACAACAGGUCCUUUCCCUAAUAACUUUAUUGGUUUUAUCAGAUCAGCAUAACAAAUGUAAGUAAAAAGUAUUUUCGAUAUA